This is a long non-coding RNA of Phalaenopsis equestris, 673 nucleotides long. RefSeq lists it as uncharacterized. The transcript has 5 exons. The record is from RefSeq and is a predicted model, not a curated record. Lineage: Eukaryota; Viridiplantae; Streptophyta; Magnoliopsida; Asparagales; Orchidaceae.
CGGAAUGUAUCCAGACUCCAAGGAACAGACAGCGGCCACCAACAGGAAAACUCAGCCCGAAGAUUCGGCGUCUAGGGCUUCCCCAACGGUCUUUCCAUCUUAUUUCUCUCCUCCAAGCUUUCGGUCAUCGGAGUUUCUCACCGGGCGUUGACGGAGAUGAGGUUUUUGAGAAGAUCUAUGUUGAGAGCGCGAGGAUGGAUACUUGGAGGUAGCAGCGGAGUUGGGUACCACAACUUGGCAGGAGAUUUGUUCAAGUAUAGAACUGUGCGCUUUUUUGGCAAGAUCUCCAGGGUGCUUUGCAUCAAUUGGCUGUAAAGCUUCUUUCAACAAUGCCACAUCAAGGCCGUGAUGGACAAGCAAUACCUUCAUUUUAAGUCUACGUGGCUGAAAUCAUUUUGCUCAGGUGAUGGACUCAUGGAAGGUGAUUGACAGUGCUGAUAUAUAUCAUAGACAUUAUCUGCUCACGAGGACUCCCACUUCAAAAGGACAUCUCUCCAUUCAUUAUUCUUUGAUUCAAGAUAUUAAGUUAUUCAACCCCAAUGGAUAUCAAAUUUCAAAUCAAGUGCUUUACUAGCUCUGAUCACAUAAAACCGCCUGGACAAAAUCUAAUCAAGUUGAUGUAUCAACUGGUAGCAGGAGGUACUCAAUCUCACCAAUGUCUCCAUUAAGCCCA